GAUGAACGCUAGCGGCAGGCCUAACACAUGCAAGUCGAGGGGCAUCAUGGCGUAGCAAUACGCUGAUGGCGACCGGCGCACGGGUGCGUAACGCGUAUGGAACCUACCCACCGCAGGGGGAUAACCCGCCGAAAGGCGGACUAAUACCCCAUGGUUCCCCGACCCUGCCUGGGUUGGGGGUAAAGCCUACGGGCGGCGGUGGAUGGCCCUGCGUGCCAUUAGCUGGCUGGUGGGGUAACGGCCCACCAGGGCGACGAUGGCUAGGGGGUCUGAGAGGACGAUCCCCCACACUGGUAACUGAGACACGGACCAGACUCCUACGGGAGGCAGCAGUGAGGAAUAUUGGACAAUGGAUGGAAAUCUGAUCCAGCCAUGCCGCGUGCAGGAAGACAGCCCUAUGGGUUGUAAACUGCUUUUAAUGGGAGCAAUAAGGUCUACGUGUAGCUGAUGAAGUACCAUAUGAAUAAGCAAUCGGCUAA
This 479-nucleotide ribosomal RNA is filed under the name uncultured bacterium. Its description in RNAcentral is "bacterial SSU rRNA". It matches the Rfam family "Bacterial small subunit ribosomal RNA", at positions 28 to 500 of the family's 1533-position model. The record is from RNAcentral.